AGAGUUUGAUCCUGGCUCAGGAUGAACGCUUGCGGCAGGCUUAAUACAUGCAAGUCGAACGGUAACAGGGUAGCAAUACCGCUGACGAGUGGCGCACGGGUGAGUAACACGUAUGCAACCUACCUUUAACUGGAGGAUAGCCCCGAGAAAUUGGGAUUAAUACUCCAUAACAAUAGAAGUGGCAUCAUUUCUAUUUGAAAGCUCCGGCGGUUAAAGAUGGGCAUGCGUAACAUUAGCUAGUUGGUGAGGUAACGGCUCACCAAGGCGACGAUGUUUAGGGGGUCUGAGAGGAUGAUCCCCCACACUGGUACUGAGACACGGACCAGACUCCUACGGGAGGCAGCAGUAGGGAAUAUUGGGCAAUGGACGCAAGUCUGACCCAGCCAUGCCGCGUGCAGGAAGACGGCCCUAGUGGUUGUAAACUGCUUUUGUACGGGAAGAAACCCCUGGACGUGUCCGGGGCUGACGGUACCGUGCGAAUAAGGAUCGGCUAACUCCGUGCCAGCAGCCGCGGUAAUACGGAGGAUCCAAGCGUUAUCCGGAUUUAUUGGGUUUAAAGGGUGCGUAGGCGGGCUAAUAAGUCAGUGGUGAAAUCCUACAGCUUAACUGUAGAAUUGCCAUUGAUACUGUUAGUCUUGAGUACAGUUGAGGUUGGCGGAAUGUGUCAUGUAGCGGUGAAAUGCUUAGAUAUGACACAGAACACCGAUUGCGAAGGCAGCUGACCAAACUGCAACUGACGCUGAGGCACGAAAGCGUGGGGAUCAAACAGGAUUAGAUACCCUGGUAGUCCACGCUGUAAACGAUGAUUACUCGAUGUGUGCGAUAUACUGUACGCGUCUAAGCGAAAGCAUUAAGUAAUCCACCUGGGGAGUACGGUCGCAAGAUUGAAACUCAAAGGAAUUGACGGGGGCCCGCACAAGCGGAGGAGCAUGUGGUUUAAUUCGAUGAUACGCGAGGAACCUUACCUGGGCUUAAAUGGGGAGUGACAGCCGCCGAAAGGUGGUCUUCUUCGGACACUCUUCAAGGUGCUGCAUGGUUGUCGUCAGCUCGUGCCGUGAGGUGUCGGGUUAAGUCCCAUAACGAGCGCAACCCCUAUUCUUAGUUGCCAUCAGGUCAUGCUGGGGACUCUAAGAGAACUGCCUACGUAAGUAGAGAGGAAGGUGGGGAUGACGUCAAAUCAGCACGGCCCUUACGUCCAGGGCUACACACGUGCUACAAUGGCCGAUACAGAGGGUCGCUACUCCGUGAGGAGAUGCUAAUCUCGAAAAUCGGUCUUAGUUCGGAUCGAAGUCUGCAACUCGACUUCGUGAAGUUGGAUUCGCUAGUAAUCGCGCAUCAGCCACGGCGCGGUGAAUACGUUCCCGGGCCUUGUACACACCGCCCGUCAAGCCAUGGGAGUUGGGGGUACCUGAAGUCGAUAACCGCAAGGAGUCGCCUAGGGUAAAACCGAUGACUAGGGCUAAGUCGUAAUAAGGUA
RNAcentral lists this ribosomal RNA (1477 nucleotides) under metagenome. RNAcentral describes it as "bacterial SSU rRNA". It matches the Rfam family "Bacterial small subunit ribosomal RNA". The record is from RNAcentral.